This 253-nucleotide ribosomal RNA is filed under the name uncultured bacterium. Its description in RNAcentral is "partial 16S ribosomal RNA". It matches the Rfam family "Bacterial small subunit ribosomal RNA", at positions 524 to 776 of the family's 1533-position model. The record is from RNAcentral.
GACGAACCGUGCGAACGUUAUUCGGAAUCACUGGGCUUAAAGGGUGCGUAGGCUGCGAGGAGGGUGGGGUGUGAAAUCCCUCGGCCUAACCGAGGAAUUGCGCUCCAAACCGCCUUGCUGGAGUGAGACAGAGGUGAGCGGAACUAAUGGUGGAGCGGUGAAAUGCGUUGAUAUCAUUAGGAACACCAGAGGCGAAGGCGGCUCACUGGGUCUCGACUGACGCUGAUGCACGAAAGCUAGGGGAGCAAACAGG